This is a long non-coding RNA of Onychostoma macrolepis, 1971 nucleotides long. RefSeq lists it as uncharacterized. The record is from RefSeq and is a predicted model, not a curated record. The transcript is spliced from 3 exons. NCBI's taxonomy places the organism in Eukaryota, Metazoa, Chordata, Actinopteri, Cypriniformes, Cyprinidae.
UAUUUUUUUACAGUUUUUGCCAAUAAAUUUUACAGUGUUUUCCCUGUUUUUUUAAAUUACAGAAAUGUUUUAAUAAAAUUACAAAAAAAAACCUGUUUAUUGACAUGUGUAACGUAAUUUAACAGAGAAACUUUGUAUAAAUGGAAUACAGUAUAUAUCUGUUUUUAAACAUAUUUUCAAUGAUAAUUUUAACGAAACUAACUGUAAAAAUAAAGUGAUUUUUUUAUUAACCUGCUGGCCUCUUUUAACACGUGAAAUACUGUAACAACUGUGUUAAUUUCUAACACCCCUUAGCUUGUCACAGAUUAUCAGAGAUCUGUUAGAAAUCGAGAUAUCCUAGUUAAAAGUAUAUCUAUCGACUUGUGUUAAGCAGGCCUCUUCUUUUUUUUGUUUUUAAAACCCAUCUUUUCUCUUUGGCUUUUGACACCUAAGAUGUCGACUUUAUUUGCUUGUUUUAAUUUGUUACUUUGAAUGCUUUUAUUGUGUGCAUAUUAAUUGUACUUAUGUUUAUUUUUCUGUACAGCACUUUGGACAACACUUUAGUUGUUGUAAAGUGCUUAACAAAUAAAGUUGGUAUGGUAUGGUAAGUUUAGCUGUUUUAAAAAAAGACCGUUGCAAUUUAAAUAAUAAGCUACGAAAACCAAUGCAAAAGACAAAUCACCAACCUCUGUGUUCAGCAAAUCAUUUUCACGGCAAUAAUUAUCUAAGCCAAUCAGAAUUGACACCUCUGCUACGUUGGUGGCGCACGCAGAAAGAAGCGCGCGACAUGAUGAAGAGUGAAGACGGCGGCGCGCUGGUGAACUAUUCUGUUGUUUUCGAGGAAGCAACAGUUGUGAGAGUUUUUUGAUUCAAUACCAGGAAUUGGAACAAUAGCUAUCUGGAACUUCUGGAACUGAGAUCAGUCAGAAGCCUUCAAGCUCAAACAUUAAAUGCCUUUUCCGGAUAAAUCCAGAUAGGGGGACCAAAGUGGAGAAGCAGUAAAAAACAGCAGUCCAUAAAUCCUACGGUUCUUUCUUUGAUUACAAACAUUGCAGACUUUGAAUGGCGAGAGUAGACAUCUCACAUGCCAGCUUCUUUCUGUUUCAUACAUUUCCAUUUAGUUUAUAGACUAUUCUGUAAUGUGUAAAGGGUUCAUUCUGCUUGUAUUUUGUGGCUGACUGUUAUCUUGAGUGAGUUGCAGCCUUUUAACCACACGUUUUAAAUUGUGUACAUUUCAAAGUACAGGGUUAAAAAAAAGCUCACAGUAAAGACCAGAAGUUUUAACCAGUGGGGAGAACCAGUUUCAUAAAAAAAAAAAUGUGUGUGUGUGUAUAUAUAUAUAUAUAUAAUGCUGCUAAACGAUGCUUUGUUAAAUGUUGAUCACAGGAUGUAUUUGCAGAUAACAAAUAAAACAAAAUUAAGAUUACUGGUGUUUUUUUUAUUAUUAAAGCAAAUCUUAGUUAUUUUUGCAGUUUAAACUGCUUAAAGUUGAACUUAAAGUUAAGUAAAUGAUGACAACUUUAUUUUGGGGAACUAUCCCUUUAGAUAUGUCUGUCACCUCUCUAGCUCAAGUUAAAUACUUUUUAUAUGGCUCAUCAGAAUUGCUGAUUAUGAUCUUUUAAACUUUUUUUUUUAUCAUUCUUUAAAUAAUUUUUCUGUGUUUGAAUAUUUUAACAAUGUAUGUUAACAUACAUUUUAACAAUGUAUGUUAAAAUGAAAAGAUUUCAUGGUAUUAUAAGGAUAUUUUUGUGUAGAAUAACAGUAAUAAACCGUAAUUAUAGGAAAAGAAAUGACCGUUUUUUUACAGUAUAUGUUAUUUGUACUUAACUUUUUUUUAAAGACAAUUUUCUGUUUUAGAGGUGUAUGACUGUUUUAACAAUUAAUUUGUUAAAAUUAAAAGAUUUCAUGGUUUUAUAAGGAUAUGUUUGUGUAGAAUAACAGUAAUAAACCGUAAUUAUAGGAAAAGAAAUUACCAUUUUUUUACAGUGUUAU